UUUGUAGUUUUGUCCUGGGAAAACACUGUAGCUGUGGAUGUCCAACUCACUUGUCAGGUUUUGGCAAAUGAAGUUAUAAUUGUAGAAGAGAAGAAAAAGGAUAAAUUUCAUGUUACAAUUAGCAAUAAUACUAUAUUUUCACUUUGAGAUCCGUAGAUGGACUUUCUCACAUGUUACGUUGUAUGGGUUAAUUUGGGACCAUUUAUCAUUUAUGACAUACUGCUUUAGAUGAAUAACUUUGUUGUGCUAAGAUUUAGUUCGUAGGGCUAGUCUGAACACAGGACCGAGC
This 289-nucleotide unclassified non-coding RNA is filed under the name Hevea brasiliensis (rubber tree). The record is from RNAcentral. Lineage: Eukaryota; Viridiplantae; Streptophyta; Magnoliopsida; Malpighiales; Euphorbiaceae.